CAGUGGCAUCGCCGGGUAGCUAUGUUCGGAAGAGAUAACCGCUGAAAGCAUCUAAGCGGGAAACUCGCCUUAAGAUGAGAUAUCCCUGGGACUAGAUCCCCUUGAAGGGUCGUUCGAGACCAGGACGUUGAUAGGUCGGGUGUGUAAGCGCAGUAAUGCGUUCAGCUAACCGAUACUAAUUGCCCGUAAGGCUUGAUCCUAUAACA
This 206-nucleotide ribosomal RNA is filed under the name Burkholderia cenocepacia. RNAcentral's name for it is "partial 23S ribosomal RNA". It matches the Rfam family "Bacterial large subunit ribosomal RNA", at positions 2730 to 2925 of the family's 2925-position model. The record is from RNAcentral. Lineage: Bacteria; Pseudomonadati; Pseudomonadota; Betaproteobacteria; Burkholderiales; Burkholderiaceae.